Molecule: ribosomal RNA, 253 nt
Filed under: uncultured bacterium
Lineage: Bacteria
Description: partial 16S ribosomal RNA
Rfam family: Bacterial small subunit ribosomal RNA
Source: RNAcentral
UACGUAGGGUGCGAGCGUUAAUCGGAAUUACUGGGCGUAAAGGGUGCGCAGGCGGUUAUAUAAGACAGAUGUGAAAUCCCCGGGCUUAACCUGGGAAUGGCAUUGGUGACUGCACGGCUAGAGUGUGUCAGAGGGGGGUAGAAUUCCACGUGUAGCAGUGAAAUGCGUAGAGAUGUGGAGGAAUACCGAUGGCGAAGGCAGCCCCCUGGGAUAACACUGACGCUCAUGCACGAAAGCGUGGGGAGCAAACAGG